This is an RNA transcript of Scylla paramamosain (green mud crab), 6393 nucleotides long. It is a transcript of the gene named cell adhesion molecule Dscam1-like, with no coding region annotated. The transcript is spliced from 22 exons. The record is from RefSeq and is a predicted model, not a curated record. Lineage: Eukaryota; Metazoa; Arthropoda; Malacostraca; Decapoda; Portunidae.
GCCGCCGUGGUUCGGUGUGCGGAGUCAGCGGCAGCAGGUGGUGGUGGGCGGGGCGGUGACACUUAGUUGUGAGGCGCAUGGAGACGACCCGCUCACUCUAACCUGGAACAGAGGCGGCGCUCCCCUGCCCCCUCUGCCCAGAUACGAGGUGUCAGAUCGAAGCACGGAUGGCGGGGCGUGUGUCAGAGCUGGUCCUUCGCUCCACCCACAUCACAGACACUGGCACUUACACCUGCACGGCCUCCAACACGCACGGCUCCCUCACUGCUGACUUUCAUCUGCUCUUGCAAGACGUGCCCGCCUCUCCGUCCGGCCUCACGGUGGGGGAGGAGGGGUCCCGCCACCUCACCCUCUCCUGGACGCCCCCGGAAGACUCCAACGCCCCCAUCACUGCCUACAUUAUUAGUUUCGACGCCCAACACUCCCUCAUGGUAGGCAGCGCGAGAGAGGUAACAGUGGAGGGUGACCAGAAGAAAGUACGACUGGAGGGUUUGCAGCCUGCCACCACCUACACGCUGACAGUGGUGGCGGAGAAUAGAGUGGGCCGCAGCCAGCCCUCCCCACCCCUUACAGCCUCCACGCACGAGGAGCCGCCCACAGGACACCCUCAGAAUGUGGUGGUUGUGCCAGUGUCCUCCACGGGCCUGCAGGUGACUUGGGAGCCGCCCCCUGACAACCUGACCCAUGGCACCAUCCUUGGGUACUACCUGGGCUUCAAAGACGACAGUGAAGGGGAGGCGGGAGCUUACAACUUCACCACAGUGGGCGGGGAUGGAGCAGGAGGAACCACAGCAACCCUCUCUGGCCUGCGCCCUCAUGCCAGCUACUCCGUGGUGCUGCAGGCCUUCAACUCCCGGGGGGCAGGACCUGGCUCGCCACCCACCCACGCCACCACACUAGAGGACAAGCCCAGCGCACCACCUGGCCACGUCACCUGUGAGAGUGUGACCUCCACCAGCCUAGUGGUCACCUGGUCGCCACCACCACCCCGUGCACGUAAUGGCAUUAUUACCAACUACAGGCUCAGCUACACCCUCCACCCACCCCAUGGAGGUGGCGAGGGUGGCAGUGUGAUGCAGGAUGGUCAGCGAGCCACCCUGGACAGCCUGACACCCUGGACCAACUACAGUGUGACAGUGGCAGCCUUUACCAGGGCAGGGCAGGGUGUCUCCUCCCCAGCUGUCAUUUGUACCACAGAGCAGGAUGUCCCAGAGGCACCAGCUCGUGUGAAGGCUGUGGUGUCAGGGCCUCGAGGGGCAGUGGUGUCCUGGGCACCACCGUCACGUCCUCACGGUCGCAUCAGCCGUUAUACAGUGCACUGGCAGCCGGCAGGGGGACGUGGGGGCCCUCACAGUCGCCGGGUGGAGCCAAACCUCACCCACCUGUCCCUGCAUGACCUGUCCCACACCACACAUCAGGUGUGGGUGACAGCCUCCACCAGGAUGGGUGAGGGUCCUGCCAGCCCUGUGACACUUGUUAAACCCACACAUACAGUCCCAGCUGGCGUGUGGUCAGUGGGUGGAAACCUGACAGCGGCAUGGAAGGAGGACAUGAGCCUGGCAUGUGGGGCAGUGGGUGUGCCAGAGCCUACCUUGAUCUGGACUCACCUUCGCAAUGUGAUCUCCGACAAUCAUGAGAGGUUCAAGAAACAGCCUGAUGGGACUUUGACACUGGCAGACAUACAGCGCAGUGACAGUGGUGACUAUGUGUGCACUGCCACCAACAAUCACGGUGUGGACACUGUCAUAUACAACCUAACUGUGCUUGUGCCUCCAUCAGCGCCUUCCCUGCACGUGACAGAGACCACAGCCUCAUCCAUAAGAGUGCAGUGGAGUGUGGAGGAUACAGGUGGAGCACCAUUGCAAGGUGCAACAUUGCAUUACCGGUCUGAGGGGGGUGAGUGGAUGACAGAGGAGGUGGGGGGAGAGCAUCGAUCUUACACAGCCACCGGUCUUCGCUGCGGGACUCUACACCACUUCUACCUGACUGCCUACAACUACAUAGGCACCAGUGCAGCGUCACGCACAGAACCAGCGCGUACCAAGGGGAGGGCACCUGAAGCACCUCCGCAGUUCCAGUUUGUGACAACUAACAGCUCCCAGGCCACACUGUACCUGGCGCAGUGGGGCGACGGAGGCUGCCCCAUCACUCACUUCUCUGUGCAAUACCGCAAGGCUGACUCCCGGCACUGGACUACAGUGGGUAGUGAGGUGCCGCCAGCGAGGACCUAUGCAGUGGGAGGGCUGGAGGCUGGUGUGAGGUAUGAAAUGCGCGUCACAGCCCACAAUGCAGCAGGAGCCACACCAGAACAUUACUCCCUCACCACGCCGGGGCUGGGACUGGCAGCAGGUGUGGGUGCAGGCAUGGGAGGGACAGGGUGGGGUGGUGCUCCCUCCUCGGCCCCUGUCUGGCGUGACCCCCGAGUGUUGGUGCCCGCCGCUGUGUCUGCCCUGGCGCUGCUGCUCACUGUCACCACCGUCUGCGUCUGCAUCAGGAAGCGGCCUCAAAGUAGUGCAGGGCAGGAGGGUGGGGGAGAUACUGUACCAGCAGAUGAGGACAAGUCAGCACUGCAGGCAAGAGAGGAACAGCAGGGGCAGUACACCACUGUGCGCCGUCCAGCCCCCACUCCGCCCCAGCACCACCACCACCACCACCCCCACCCUGCUGACACCACCGGUCCGAGGGGGCGACUACAGCGAGGAGGAACUCUACCCCUACGCCACAGCCACCUUCCAGAUGAGUGGCGGCAGUCCCCCACCACCCGCCCCACCCUCACCGCCCACCCACGGCCACCACCCGCAGCCCCGUGCCCAGAAAGCCUUCACUGCUCUCGUGUACCAGGCGCCCUCACUGCACGAUGUCGAUUCCCCGAACCUGAGCGAGAGGGAGAGGGAUGCCAAGAGGGGAGUGGCUCGAGGCUACACUUACCAGCCAACCGAAACAGAGGAUUAUGGGAGUGUGCUGGAGCCGACCCCCGACCCCCGCUGUCCCCCCCACCACCGCCGGCCCCCCCGCCACCUCAGGACCAGGCCACCCGCAGCGUGCGCUUCCCCUAAGGCACCACACCGCCCCCUCCACCACCACCACCACCACCACCACAAGGCACCACAGCAGCACACUCUCCGCCUGGCCCGCCACUCAAGGAGCCCUGCAGCAACACGAAGGCUGAGCGAAGGCAGCACUUCCAUUCGCGACCUCCCCAGUGACGCUGAGUGUGACCUACACUGGUGACAGCCCCUGCAGCACCCUUCUACCCCUAGUUCACCCCAGCACACCAGCCCACGCCCUCCGAAACCCCCAGGACGUCCCCAGAUGCCUCUCCCUCACUCCCACAACCUUGCUGAGGCUGAAUAAGAGGGAAUAAGGGUGCUGGGGUGUGUGACAGCCCUUAAAACACCCUAAUUCACCCCAGCACGCCAGCUCAUGCCCUCCAAAACCCCCAGGACACCCCCUGAUACCUCUCCGACACUUCUUCAAUGUUCCUGGGGUGACUAAGGAUGCUGGGGUGUAUUGAGGGUCCCUGGAACAUCCCUCCAUUCCCAGCUCACCCCAGUUCACCCCAGCACACAAGCCCAAGACCUCCAAAAGACCCCCAGAUGUCCUCAAAUAUCUGUCCGAUGUUCCCACAACCUUCCAGGGGUGACAAAGGGAUGACGGCUUGCUGGGGUGUGGUUUAGGGUGUAGCAGCCAUGUGGUGGAUGUGGUAGUGAGUCAAGUGGGUGGAGUAGCAGGCCUGUGGUAGAUGGAGGAGUGGAGGUGGUGAAAUAUACCCAGCCUGGUGCAUCUCUUGUACUUUACUUUGCCUUGGGUGUAAACGCUGAGUGACUGGAUGUGAGAGGAAAUGGGUACAGGAAUGGGUCGAAUAUCAGAGGAACAAACUCACUAAACAGAAGAGAAAUAGAUACAGGAAUGAAUAAAAUGAAUAGAAUACCAGAGAAAAAGAUGAGUAUAAAAAAAAAUGUUGCUGCUUUAAAACUUUAUGGCUUGACGUGUUAAAAUAAACCAAAGUAAAAUAUAAAAAAAAAUAUUGCUUUGAAAGGAAGUUUUAUGAUAUAUAUAUACAUGCAUACAUACAACCAUAAAUAGACUCUAUACAUAACUCUAUUAUAUAUACAUACAUACAUGCAUAACCAGUGUGAUCUGCUGCUAUACCCUUUCAAUUUCAUUAUCUCAGUCGAGUCCGGUGUGUGAAAUAAUAUUGAUAAUAUAAUAAUAAUAAUAAUAAUAAUAAUAAUAAUAGAGAUAUGCUGUUUUUAUUUAUUUAUUUAUUUAUUUAUUUAUUUUUAUUUAUUUAUUUUUAUUUUAGAAGACCCCCUCAAAACCCACUCAAAACACCCCUUAUCCUGCUCCUCUCCCCUCAAAAAAAAAAAAAAAAAACACCUCAAAUAUAUCUUUUUUUUUCUUUUUUUCCUCAUUUGUUAUUGUUCAAAGUCAAGAAAGUUACUAAUUAUUACUGUUAUUUUUUUUUUACUUAAUUCAGGUAUAGAUGUUCCUGUGUGUGAUGUGUGUGUGGUGAAGACUGUUCAUUAGUGUUCCAGAUGUGAUUCCUGUCAAUUCCUGUCAUUCCUGUCAUUCCUGUCUCCCUUCUUCCCUCUUUUCCUCUCUCCAUCCACUCCCUCUGUCACUUCCUCAUUCUCUCUUCUUCAUCAUCUUCUUAUGUUUUUAGAUGUAUGUAUCUUUUCUCUUUUUUUUCUUCCCUCGUAUUUUUGUCUUAUUUAUCCUUUCCUCUUCCUAUUCUUCCUACUCCAUCCUCUCUUCUUCCUUCCCUUCUUAUAUUUACAGAUGUAUGUAUCUUUUCCUUUCUUCUUUCUUGUAUUUUUGUUUUAUUUAUUCUUUCCUCUUCUUAUUCUUCCUUAUUUUUGUUCAGAUAUACUUGUCCUCUUCCUCCAUCUCCCUCUAAUCAGCUGUCCCUACCAUCUCUAUCCUCUCCACCUACUCUUCCUAUCCUUCAUAUCCUAUCCUAUCUCCUCUUCUUUUUGUUUUGUUUUUUUUGUGUUAUUUUCUGUUAAAAUAUUCAUUCAUUCAGAUUAAGUUGACAUUUAAACUCCUCCUCUCCACUCACUCUCCUGUCUGUUGCAUUCUAUUGGCUGUUGUGAUGGUGAAGCUCCUCUCCCUUUACUCCCCUGAAGCACAUGAUUGGCCAAUGCUGAGGGAGAGGAUGCAUGUGAUUGGUGGAGCUGCAUCGAGUUAAUAUGCAAUGAUUAUGGAAGUGUUGGUCAAUGGGUGUCUUUAAAGUGACUCUGGGAGCACCUGGUGACAAAAUGUUAAGUGCCGUGGUCUUACAAGCUGACCUCUUGACUUGUUCCCAUGGCUUGUAUUCUCAGGCACUUUGGCACCUCAGCUCAACUUCUUCACAGGCCGUAGUGGAGGUUGGCUGAGUUUUCAAGGGUGUUUUUCGUAUUUCUUGUGAUAGCUCUGCCCUCUCUUCACAGGCUGUAGUGGAGGUAAGCAGGGUUUUCAAGGGUGUUUUUGUAGUUCUUUUGAGAGUUUAAAGAAAUAGUCUUGAAAUCCUGACUCAUCAUCUCUCUGGUCUCUGAAAGAAGUGUAGAUGAGAAGAGCAGUGUUUCAGAAUGUGGAAUAUAAAGUUAACAGGUCAGCAAGCGAUGAAUACCCAAUCACCUUUCCUUCGAAAUUGAUCGCUUUUUCUGUGAUAUAGUUGCCAAAAGAAUGAUUAUUAUCUGUUAUUAUAAAAUUACUGUUGGUCGAAUAUGCAUCUCUGGUUAAGGUGAUUUCUUGAAAUAUGACACACACACACACACACACACACACACACACACACACACACACACACACACACACACACACACAGUAAUAAUACUCAAAAACACUACUACCAAUAAUACUUAAGGCUUGGAUAUUAUCACAGUAUAAAAAUCUCAAUUGUAAUACUCCAAAAAAGUAAUAAAUAAUUAAUGUAAUCUCCAUUUGAUCAAACUGUGACAAUAAUGUUAAUGUUUCAAAUCCUCUCACUUAGCAACUCAUUUCACAUCCCCCUCCUUACCUCCUCCCUUUCCUCCUUCACCCCUCAUUCUUCACUCACCAGUACCCUAUCCUAUCCAUCUCCUUUUUCCUCAUCAUCUUCACUUACUCAUCCCCAUUCCAUCUCCCUUUCUCUCCUUCGCUCCUCAUCUCUACCUUAUCCCAUCCCGACAUCUCCGUUCUUUCUCCUCCAUUCCUCACCCACCCCAGCCUUCCCCAUCCACUCUGCAUAUGUCUAGCCUUCUAGUUAUGCAUAAAUGAAUUUCUCUAUACAUACGCUGCCUCUGAACUGUAUAAGUGUUGAUCCUGUGAGCAUCAUCUUUAUACAAAUGAACCAUAUGUAUAUCUGCCUCGAUCUCCGUUUGUAUACAUGCUCUUGAUGUAUUUUUAUAAUAUAAGUACAAAAUGCAUGAA